Saccostrea cuccullata (small rock oyster) is the source of this 754-nucleotide long non-coding RNA. RefSeq lists it as uncharacterized. The transcript is spliced from 3 exons. The record is from RefSeq and is a predicted model, not a curated record. NCBI's taxonomy places the organism in Eukaryota, Metazoa, Mollusca, Bivalvia, Ostreida, Ostreidae.
AACUGCAUCAACAUCUUUUGACCUUGUCCUUUCCUUUGACCUUGACCUCACUAGUCUUUUCUUAAAUCAGUGUCAAACUUCAUAUGCUGAUACACACUGAUGUAAGCAAAUCACCUGUAUUAACAUUUUUGACGUUGACCUUUCAUUUAACCUUGACCUCAUUUUUAUGGAAAUUGUUUUUAAGUUAGUUUUAAAGAAACCAUUUAUAAUUUUUUUUAAAUUUCAUAUGCUGAAACAUACUGAUGGGAGCUUUUCAACUGCAUCAACAGUUUUGACUUUGGCAUUUCCUUUGACCUUGACCUCCCUUUAAUGAAAUUAGUGUUAAACAUAAUAUGCUGAUACAUACUGAUCUUGGACAGAAAAGAGAUAUAAAAGGACUUCAUGGAAUUCACCAACAUCGAGACAUUGAAGAUCCUGAAGCAUUCAAGUACAAGAUGACAAAGCUUAGAAAAUUGAGUUGUCUUUUUCACCAUUGGCCUGCCUUGCAGAGUUACUUCAGUUCCCAUGACGAUGUUGAGAAACCAGACAGAUGAAGUGAUGUACAUCAUAUACAUGUAUUAAAGACAACAACCAUGAACAUGUAUAUGUGAAUCAGCUUCCCAAGUUUCAUUAUUCAUCCACUUAAUGAUUUUUGAAGGCUGAUGAAGUUAAGAUUGGGUACUUGAGGGACAUCAAAGAUGCUGGCCAAAUUUCUUUUCAAGGAUAUGGUGAUAUCCAACCUUGGCUUUCUAAAUCCAGCAAAUGGAGGAGAUCU